UGCUUUCUUUGUUCUAAAAUCAGUUGCUGAAUAGGAAAACUUAAUCUUACAGGAAGUUUAAAGCAUCUUUUCGCAUAACCACAAACUUAAGACUAGUGGUUUCAAAAAGCAUUUAAAAUCUGCCAAAAAAUGAUGAAGAUGAAAAUACAGCAGU
Long non-coding RNA from Sinocyclocheilus rhinocerous, 154 nucleotides. RefSeq lists it as uncharacterized. Lineage: Eukaryota; Metazoa; Chordata; Actinopteri; Cypriniformes; Cyprinidae. The transcript is spliced from 3 exons. The record is from RefSeq and is a predicted model, not a curated record.